UACGGGGGGGGCAAGCGUUGUUCGGAAUUACUGGGCGUAAAGGGCUCGUAGGCGGCCAACUAAGUCAGACGUGAAAUCCCUCGGCUCAACUGAGGACGUGCGGAAGAAACUGCAGGGCUGGAGUCCGGGAGAGGAGGGUGGAAUUCCCAGUGUAGCGGUGAAAUGCGUAGAUAUUGGGAGGAACACCGGUGGCGAAGGCGGCCCUCUGGACCGGUACUGACACUGAGGCACGAAGGCCAGGGGAGCAAACGGG
RNAcentral lists this ribosomal RNA (253 nucleotides) under uncultured bacterium. RNAcentral's name for it is "partial 16S ribosomal RNA". It matches the Rfam family "Bacterial small subunit ribosomal RNA", at positions 524 to 776 of the family's 1533-position model. The record is from RNAcentral.